This 497-nucleotide ribosomal RNA is filed under the name uncultured bacterium. RNAcentral's name for it is "partial 16S ribosomal RNA". It matches the Rfam family "Bacterial small subunit ribosomal RNA", at positions 28 to 507 of the family's 1533-position model. The record is from RNAcentral.
GAUGAACGCUGGCGGCGUGCCUAAUACAUGCAAGUCGAGCGAACGGACGAGAAGCUUGCUUCUCUGAUGUUAGCGGCGGACGGGUGAGUAACACGUGGAUAACCUACCUAUAAGACUGGGAUAACUUCGGGAAACCGGAGCUAAUACCGGAUAAUAUUUUGAACCGCAUGGUUCAAAAGUGAAAGACGGUUUUGCUGUCACUUAUAGAUGGAUCCGCGCUGCAUUAGCUAGUUGGUAAGGUAACGGCUUACCAAGGCAACGAUGCAUAGCCGACCUGAGAGGGUGAUCGGCCACACUGGAACUGAGACACGGUCCAGACUCCUACGGGAAGCAGCAGUAGGGAAUCUUCCGCAAUGGGCGAAAGCCUGACGGAGCAACGCCGCGUGAGUGAUGAAGGUCUUCGGAUCGUAAAACUCUGUUAUUAGGGAAGAACAUAUGUGUAAGUAACUGUGCACAUCUUGACGGUACCUAAUCAGAAAGCCACGGCUAACUACGUG